UGGGAGAUGUACGUAAUAACGUAGGAAUUAGGAUGGUAGUAUUUGAUAAGAUGCUGUCCUAAUUCAUUCCUCAUUUAGGAUCUGAGAUUUACCCAUUAUCUGGACUGUACACUAGAAUCUCAUUCUAACUAGGAUGCUAAAUAAGAAGUUUGAAGAACGACAUGAUCAAAAAUUUGGCUCAUCAUUUGUGUAACAAAAUGACAGAUACAUAUGCAAGUCCUCAUUGAACACAGCAGGACGGAGGGGGAUUCAAGUUAUGGAGCACUAGACAUCAAUCUACCAAGUCUUCCUUACUAAAUAAAAAUCUUGAAUGAAUCAGUAUCGUCUUGUCAGUUCAAUGCUGAUUCAGUAGAUCAUAUGGCUUAAUCCUCAGUCCUUUGACGCUUUGGGGCUUGAGAACUAUCUUCACUAGCAUGUUGCUUAGGAUUCUCAGAUGCUUUACAUUCAGCAGGAUCCUGCUUCUCAUCCACUUUCGAUGAGCUUUCCUCAACUUUGGUACUGCCAUUUGCUUGAUCAGGUCCUGACUCGCAAAGAUCCACUUUGACAGUUUCGGAAUCAGUUUUGGCUGUAGAAUCUUUCAUGACAUCAGAAGAAACUCCAGAUGGACUAUCACCGGCAGAUGAUGCCUUAAAUGUUUCAAUGCCAGAUUUGCACUGUUUCUCAAACAUCAUUUGAAGCUAGCUGAUGCUUGCCAACUGGGAAGUUCAGAAAUUACGGGAAGUCAGCCUGAUCAGCAGGUUAUGAAGGUUUUGGGAGUAGGAAAGUAUCCUCUUCUCAAAAGAACUAGAUUAUUCUGUUAAGAGUUUAAUUUCAUAAAUUUUAGAAAUAUUUAUCUUCCUCCACAACCUUUAUGGGAAACACUUUCCUAGCCUCUUGGCAGGUUUCCCUUAAGGUAUUUUUUAAGUGUGAUAGUAGAUAGUACUUGCAGAGGGGUAGGGUUGGUCUUUUGAACAGCUUCUGUCUGUUGUUGAUUGCUUAGUAGCUUUUGGAUGAUU
Molecule: small RNA, 995 nt
Filed under: Vigna angularis var. angularis
Lineage: Eukaryota; Viridiplantae; Streptophyta; Magnoliopsida; Fabales; Fabaceae
Description: Non-protein coding transcript
Source: RNAcentral